This 253-nucleotide ribosomal RNA is filed under the name uncultured bacterium. RNAcentral describes it as "partial 16S ribosomal RNA". It matches the Rfam family "Bacterial small subunit ribosomal RNA", at positions 524 to 776 of the family's 1533-position model. The record is from RNAcentral.
UACGAAGGGGGCUAGCGUUGUUCGGAAUCACUGGGCGUAAAGGGCGCGUAGGCGGCUUUAUAAGUCGGGGGUGAAAGCCUGUGGCUCAACCACAGAAUUGCCUUCGAUACUGUAGAGCUUGAGACCGGAAGAGGUUAGUGGAACUGCGAGUGUAGAGGUGAAAUUCGUAGAUAUUCGCAAGAACACCAGUGGCGAAGGCGACUCACUGGACAUGUAUUGACGCUGAGGUGCGAAAGCGUGGGGAGCAAACAGG